RNAcentral lists this unclassified non-coding RNA (202 nucleotides) under soil metagenome. Its description in RNAcentral is "partial contains 5.8S ribosomal RNA, internal transcribed spacer 2, and large subunit ribosomal RNA". The record is from RNAcentral.
AACCUUAUGGACCUGCGGGCGUAUACCUGCGGAAGGAUCAUUACCUAGAGUUGUAGGCUUUGCCUGCUAUCUCUUACCCAUGUCUUUUGAGUACUUGCGUUUCCUCGGCGGGUCCGCCCGCCGAUUGGACAAUUUAAACCAUUUGCAGUUGCAAUCAGCGUCUGAAAAAACUUUAAUAGUUACAACUUUUAACAACGGAUCU